This 277-nucleotide long non-coding RNA is filed under the name Zostera marina. RNAcentral describes it as "long non-coding RNA (ZMAR_LNC004015)". Lineage: Eukaryota; Viridiplantae; Streptophyta; Magnoliopsida; Alismatales; Zosteraceae. The record is from RNAcentral.
ACUAGUGGCUCGGCAAUUCAUAGGAGAGUUCACCGUUAAAGAACCUCUAAUCGUACAGUACGCAGCCACCCUGGAAAAAAUCAAAAAACAAUUCACCAAGGUUGAAGUACAGCAGAUUCCAAGAAGUCAAAAUAACUCAGCUGACGCCCUGGCAAAGCUAGCUUCUGCUUUCGAGGAGGGGCAGAGAGAGAUACUAGUUGACUCAGCAUCUACACCUUCAUGUAACUUAGUCACGAUCCAAGCAGAAGACUGGAGGAAACCCUUGAUAGAAUACUUC